UUGGGAGCUCUCCCAUAUGGUCGACCUGCAGGCGGCCGCGAAUUCACUAGUGAUUAGAGUUUGAUCAUGGCUCAGAUUGAACGCUAGCGGAAUGCUUUACACAUGCAAGUCGAACGGCAGCACGGGGGCAACCCUGGUGGCGAGUGGCGAACGGGUGAGUAAUACAUCGGAACGUGCCCAGUCGUGGGGGAUAACGUAGCGAAAGCUACGCUAAUACCGCAUACGAACUCUGGUUGAAAGCGGGGGACUCGCAAGGGCCUCGCGCGAUUGGAGCGGCCGAUGGCAGAUUAGGUAGUUGGUGGGGUAAAGGCUCACCAAGCCGACGAUCUGUAGCUGGUCUGAGAGGACGACCAGCCACACUGGGACUGAGACACGGCCCAGACUCCUACGGGAGGCAGCAGUGGGGAAUUUUGGACAAUGGGCGCAAGCCUGAUCCAGCCAUUCCGCGUGCAGGAUGAAGGCCCUCGGGUUGUAAACUGCUUUUGUACGGAACGAAAAGGCUCUGGUUAAUACCUGGGGCUCAUGACGGUACCGUAAGAAUAAGCACCGGCUAACUACGUGCCAGCAGCCGCGGUAAUACGAAUCGAAUUCCCGCGGCCG
Molecule: ribosomal RNA, 600 nt
Filed under: uncultured beta proteobacterium
Lineage: Bacteria; Pseudomonadati; Pseudomonadota; Betaproteobacteria
Description: bacterial SSU rRNA
Rfam family: Bacterial small subunit ribosomal RNA
Source: RNAcentral